CCCUUAGAUGUUCUGGGCCGCACACGCGCUACACUGAAGGAGGCAGCGUGUACUCCUGGAUCGAAAGAUUUGGGUAACCCGCGAAUCUCCUUCGUGCUAGGGAUUGAGGUUUGCAAUUAUCCUUCAUGAACGAGGAAUUCCCAGUAAGUGCAAGUCAUAAGCUUGCGCUGACUACGUCCCUGCCCUUUGUACACACCGCCCGUCGCUACUACCGAUUGAAUGAUUUAAUGAGGACUUCGGACUGGGACCGAUGCGGCUUUCGGGCUGCGUCGGUAUUCUGGAAAGAUGUCCAAACUGUAUCAUUUAGAGGAAGUAAAAGUCGUANCA
RNAcentral lists this ribosomal RNA (327 nucleotides) under uncultured eukaryote. RNAcentral describes it as "partial 18S ribosomal RNA". It matches the Rfam family "Eukaryotic small subunit ribosomal RNA", at positions 1470 to 1796 of the family's 1831-position model. The record is from RNAcentral.